UAUAGUACUAUCUGGAAGACUGGAAAUCCAUCAAUGCCAGAGAAGUGCUCAUUUUAUCUUAUCUUAGCUGAUAUAAAAUCACUGUUAAAUUGUUUUUCACACACUUUUGUGUCUUCUUCUAAACAAUCAGAGAAUCGUACUAUUCACGUGAUGUCUCGGAGUCAAUUUUUCAAUCUGAUUGUAAAGAAUGGUUGUCAUUGCCUCAGUGUAGCAUAAAAACACUCUCUCGCAUACCAUAGCAGGAGGAUCUGUACUGUUAUAUAUGAAUGUGGCAAUGGUUUU
Ipomoea nil (Japanese morning glory) is the source of this 282-nucleotide long non-coding RNA. RefSeq lists it as uncharacterized. Lineage: Eukaryota; Viridiplantae; Streptophyta; Magnoliopsida; Solanales; Convolvulaceae. The transcript has 2 exons. The record is from RefSeq and is a predicted model, not a curated record.